AGAUUUUAAUGAUGAUGAUAUUUCUUACCUACAUUGUCUGAGAAAUAUGAUUAGGAUUAUUGUCUGAGAAACCU
Ostrea edulis (European flat oyster) is the source of this 74-nucleotide small nucleolar RNA. RefSeq annotates it as small nucleolar RNA SNORD34. The record is from RefSeq and is a predicted model, not a curated record. NCBI's taxonomy places the organism in Eukaryota, Metazoa, Mollusca, Bivalvia, Ostreida, Ostreidae. The transcript has a single exon.